UGGAAAUGAUGAAACACCCAGCUCAUUGAUUUACAAUGAUACCUUUUAGUUCCUAUAUUCUGAUCCAGAU
RNAcentral lists this small nucleolar RNA (70 nucleotides) under Sparus aurata (gilthead seabream). RNAcentral describes it as "Small nucleolar RNA U54 (ENSSAUG00010017617.1)". It matches the Rfam family "Small nucleolar RNA U54". Lineage: Eukaryota; Metazoa; Chordata; Actinopteri; Spariformes; Sparidae. The record is from Rfam by way of RNAcentral.